This 253-nucleotide ribosomal RNA is filed under the name uncultured bacterium. RNAcentral describes it as "partial 16S ribosomal RNA". It matches the Rfam family "Bacterial small subunit ribosomal RNA", at positions 524 to 776 of the family's 1533-position model. The record is from RNAcentral.
UACGUAGGAUGCAAGCGGUGUCCGGCUUUAUUGGGUUUAAAGGGGGCGUGGGCGGACUAUUAAGUUAGUGGUGAAAACGUUCGGCUUAACCGGUUACCCGCCAUUGAUACUGAUAGACUUGAGUGCGACAGAGGGUGUUGGAAUGUGUGGUGUAGCGGUGAAAUGCUUAGAUAUCACGCAGAACACCAAUUGCGAAGGCAGAUGCCUAUGUCGUAACUGACGCUGAGGCACGAAAGCGUGGGGAGCAAACAGG